CAUCUGCGUAUGUAGAUUAUAGCUCACAGAAUAAUGUACAUUCAUGACCAUUCAGUACAUACAUACGUAGAUUUUCAAUCAAUUUAUUUCAAUAAACAAAAACAAGUAGCAUAACUAAAGAAUAUAAAUAUUCUUCGUGUAAAUAAAAGUAAGUUGCCAUUAUAUAUCCGGAGUAGCAUAUAGUCGCAGACUCAAACACGGUGAAAUUUUAUCAUAAAGACAAUAACUUGCGAUGAUCAAGACAUUUCAAAUAUACAUAGAAAAGGUUAAGUUGGCUGUACAAGUGAAAACACUAUAGAAAACAUCAUUAGCAUAUUUAUCAUAGAUAAUAAAUAGAUUGGAUAGAAAAUAAAAUUAUUAUUAAUAAUUUAAUUUUAAAUACUUAUAUUUUAUUUUUA
Long non-coding RNA from Daktulosphaira vitifoliae (grape phylloxera), 398 nucleotides. RefSeq lists it as uncharacterized. NCBI's taxonomy places the organism in Eukaryota, Metazoa, Arthropoda, Insecta, Hemiptera, Phylloxeridae. The transcript is spliced from 3 exons. The record is from RefSeq and is a predicted model, not a curated record.